GACGUAACCGAGCUGUGUAAUAAUUAUAUUGCGAGUAAUAUGCAAUGUGUAAUAAUUUCUAUCUGAUUAAUUAUUCGUGCUACAAUGAUAUUAAUAUAAACAAAUAUAAAUAUAAAUAUAUAUAUAUAUAUUAUAAUUUCAUAAUUUACACAUAUGAAUGUAUAAUUGGCUAUAAAAAAAUCCUUCAUUACACGUUUUAGUAUGGUUUAUUUUUAAACUAGUAUAAGCAUAAAUAUGAAAUGGGUAAAGUGUUAAAUACAUGUUAAAAAUAGAUUUUGUUAUAUCUAGCGUAUUUAUUAAUACACUUAUCAUGACUGUAUUGUAAAACGAUAAAUAUUCUUUAAAAAUAGAUUUCCAAUCAUUAUCUUUACUGACAUAGAAUUUUUUAUUAUAUAAAUUGCAUCGAAUAUUUAUAAUUCAUGAUAUUUUUAUGACCAAUAUCUUUACAUUCAAAAAUUUCUCAAAUAAGUUGAGAAGAUGUUACUAAUGAGCCUUAUUAUUUUAUAAAGAUUUUGAACAAAAUUUUCUUUUCAAAAUCAAGUUUCGAUUAUCCUUAAAAAGAGAAUUCCAGAUUCACAAUUCGGAUCAAUGGUAAAAAGCGAAGCCAUUAUUCGAACUGACGGACCGGUAAAUCAAACCAAUUAAAUAGAAACUUACUUUAUAAUUGAACGAAUAAAAAACUUUUAUUUUAUUUCUAUAUCGAGAUGCAUUGGAUUAAAUAUAAAUAAGAUAAAAUCUGGUGGAAAGUCUUAAAAUUAGCUAUUAUUUUAUUAAAUCUAUAUAACGAUUUUUAAAACGAGUUUUAAAAAAAUUUUAUCUUAAGCUAUCGACAAUAUUCAUGGAACAUCAGUUAUCAUUAUAUCGAGGGAUCAUUAUCUUUUUAAAUAAGUGUCACGUAACGGUCUUAUAUCGAUCACAUGGAUCGAAACGAAAAUGAUUUCGGUGCAGGUGCAUCGUACAAAACCGAUAGAAUAGGAAUUAAUACGGUGCCACGUGCACCGGAAGAACGCGUCUAGGGAAAGGAGAAUUUAUGAUAUCGAUUAUCAUAGGAAUGCAAUUUAUUACACAAAUUGAAUUCGAAUGUAUAACUAUGAGAAGGAAGUCAGUGGACGAAUAGAAUACGGUUUACAUCGUUUUGUCGUUACGUUUAAGUUAUGUACAGAUAAUUUUAAGAAGAGAAUCUUAGAAAAUAUUAAAUAAAGUUUUGAAUACUUUAAGAUACUUUUUGAAUUCAUUGUAAAUGGAGUAGAAUAAAUACGUGCAGAAAUUUAAAAUUCUAAGUAUAAUCCAUCCAAUUUUAACUCUAACAAUCAUUUGCAAUGUUUGCCAGGUUGGCAAGUUUUAUAAACGAUUAUUAUAUUUUAUCGUAUAUUUUUCUAUCUAAAAAAGAAACGACUUUUUUUGGUUACCCAAUUCUUUCAAGUAUAAAAUAUACUCGAUGAAUAUUCAACAUUGAUGCGUUUAAAACGAAAUUUCGCCCGACGAAAUAUUGCAUUAAUUUCUCGCGAUCUCAUGUCUAUUUUUAGCAGACACCCGAUAUAUUUCAUAAAUCCUUACGAAACGACACAGCUCGCGCGCAAAAAGGAAAUAAUUCGAUCGGUGAUUCGCGGGCUCUGCAUUAAUCUUGCAGCGUAUUGCCGCUCCCUCUUUCCCCGUCUUCAUUAUCUUUGAUCCCUUUACCUUGAAUUUUACUUGAAAAAUUGUCGUCGUAUAACACGAAGAAAAAAACGAUAAAGAGAAAAGGAAGAAAAGUGGUCGAUAAAAGAACGAAAGAGAUGGGAGGGGCAAAAAAAAAAAAUGUUAACUAUCGAUUCGAAAAAAUUGAAUGAAAAAUGUAACGAAAAAAAGAGCGAUGAGAAAUUAGAAUGAAAGUAAUCAAAUGAGAAAAUUUCAAAUAAUUGUAAAAUAAAGUGUGAUUGAAAUUUCUAACUUACAAAUAUAUAUUUAUAACAAUUUGAAGUGCGAUAAUUAUUUUAAAAAAUUCUUAAGAACAGAGAUUAAAUAAUAGAACGUAGUUUGUAAAGUUAUUUCUAUGUUAUCAUUAUUAUUUCUAUUCACUUUGAUUUCUUGAUAACAAACCGGAAUAAAUUCUACUAACCCUUUAUUACAUUGUUUAUUACAUUAUAUAACAACAUCGAUAUUAUGGAAAUAUAAAAAUUUAUAUCGCAAUUUCUUCUUCAGAUUUUAUAUUAAAUUUUGUUGUUUUUUUUUUUAAUAUUACAAUAAAAAGAAAGUUGCAAGAUUCGACUUAAUAUUUCUUCUUUUAUUUAGGCUUUUAUCUGAAUUCUAUAAUUUUGUAGAAUUUCAAAGAAAUUGAAUAUAUAUUUUGAAGAGUUAUUCGAAAUGUUAGCUUUUUUGUCGAAAUUAUCGUAUUUUUAUAAUCUAUAAAUCAUAUUAUACAUGUCUCUAAAUUGUUAAUAUUCUUCGUUAUAAUACUGCAUAUACGAUACCUAUGAAUAAUUAAAUGAUAAUAGCAACUGAUUAUCACAUAGAGUGUAAUUUACUACGCGAAAAUAAAGAAUUUGAAAAAGGAAAAAAAAA
This is a long non-coding RNA of Apis cerana (Asiatic honeybee), 2541 nucleotides long. RefSeq lists it as uncharacterized. NCBI's taxonomy places the organism in Eukaryota, Metazoa, Arthropoda, Insecta, Hymenoptera, Apidae. The record is from RefSeq and is a predicted model, not a curated record.